This 254-nucleotide ribosomal RNA is filed under the name uncultured bacterium. RNAcentral describes it as "partial 16S ribosomal RNA". It matches the Rfam family "Bacterial small subunit ribosomal RNA", at positions 524 to 776 of the family's 1533-position model. The record is from RNAcentral.
UACGUAGGGUGCGAGCGUUGUCCGGAAUUACUGGGCGUAAAGAGCUCGUAGGUGGUUUGCCGCGUUGUUCGUGAAAACCGGGGGCUUAACCCUCGGCGUGCGGGCGAUACGGGCAUCACUAGAGUUCGGCAGGGGAGACUGGAAUUCCUGGUGUAGCGGUGAAAUGCGCAGAUAUCAGGAAGAACACCAAUGGCGAAAGCAGCUUUCUGGGACGGUACUGACGCUGAGACGCGAAAGCGUGGGGAGCGAACAGG